Molecule: long non-coding RNA, 2063 nt
Organism: Canis lupus familiaris (dog)
Lineage: Eukaryota; Metazoa; Chordata; Mammalia; Carnivora; Canidae
Exons: 2
Source: RefSeq, a predicted model, not a curated record
GGACCCCGGACGCCCCCGGACGCCCCCGCCGCCCCGCCGCCCCGCCGCAGGCAGAGGCCUCAAGCCAGAGCCCCAUGGGGUCGCCGUGCCUGCGGCCCUACUAGCCCCACGGCGAUGGACCUGAACUUCACAUGAAAGCUGACGCUCCACAGCCACCUAGUUGAUCGAGGAAUCCAAAUGGCACCUCGUUCAAGGAAACCAUAAAACUCUCUCCUGCCACCGCAGUUGCAGUCCAGUGCCACCUUGGAAAGUAGAUGCAAAUAACGCUCCGAACGCCUGAGGUUUGAAGCCCCAGCACUGGGAGGCCUUUGAUACUCCCAGUGCCUGAGGUCGGCCCCCACGCCCUGUUGCGAUACACACGCCUAGGCACUACGCCUCCUACACGCUCUUGCUCAGAGAGGUACCAAAAUAGAAGACUGCCUGCCAGGAAGAGAGGUGUUUAGUUACACAUCACAGAUGACUGUCACAAGCCAACUUAGCCAAAGCAGUAAAAGCCGCAUGCCCCACACCAUUGUGAAACUAUGAGCUGUGGACAAUGAAACAGGAAUUGCCUUCUAUGAUGGGAGAGAAAAAAAAAAAAAAGUAUUGACAAGACAUUUAAAAAAUCGUGUCUUGAUGAGGAAAUGAAUGUCAAUAUUGUUUGUAGUAAAUUCUGAACAAUGAUCUUCAUGGACUACCCCCCUCAGCCUCCCCAAAUCUUCCUAUAUUUAGAAAACUUCCCAAACAGUUGCUCAAGAUGAACUUUUAAACUAGAAUGGUGUGAUUUUAAAACUUAUUUCAAAAUUCAAAUUGAUUUCAGAGUUCAGACUUUGCAUUCAGGAAAAUUAUUUGGCAAAAUGAGGCCAAAUGAAUUCCAAGUACCCAAAUAUAAAAUCAAAUCUGGCCUAGGUUCUAUGGCUGUAAUAAAAGAAUUAAGAUGUAUGUAUUCUACUGCCCCCUCAUGGGUAAGAUGGAGAUAUAACUGACAGUAGUUAAUGCCUUUUAAGUCUGAGAAUGCCUUUUAAGUCUGAGAAUAGAAUGCCUUUUAAGUCUUAGCAAUCUGUAUUACUUUGAUGACAUAGAGGACAAGGUAAAAUCAAAUCAGGUUCUCUAAGGGACUUAAAUACUCAGUAAACAGAGUUCAACUUCAGAAACCAGAGAGAGGAUUCUUACACUAGGACUAGUAUAAACACGCAGUCAGGAUCACACCCAUGCUUAGGGUUACUUGUAUAGAAUGUGGAAACAAGCAGGAAUUUGCCUUUAAUUUUUUUUUCCAUUUGAAAAGUCUUUACCCACUGAGAUGUUUUAAAAUCUUCUUUUUCACAUUUGUAUCCACCCAUCCUACCACUUCACACUGUGAACAACUUGAGAGUAGAAAUGAAAUCUUAUUCUUGAUACCUUUGUUGUGUAAAUUGUACCUGAUACUUGAGCUGUUCAAUCAGUAGUUCUUUAAUAAUUACUAUCAGCCCAGCCACUAGAUGGCAACACAGUUGUAUGUGUAGAAGUAUAGUCUAGCUAAUUGGAAUUCUACCUGGCCUUGAGUAAACAGGCAGGUUUCUAAAAAGUUAUGUGUACGUCUUAUUUUGGUAAGUGAAGUUAUUUAGAACCUACAAGAACAGAUGACUAUAACUUUAUUGCCAAUUAUAUCCUUACAACUAAGAAUCCUUUUUGUAAGAUAAAUUCUCCCUAAGUACAGAUUUUUCUAUAUUGAGCAACACCUGUGUUUGUCUAAGAAUGCCAGUCUCCUGUUGCAUCCUAUCAGAAGGACUUUUCAAUGGCCUAAGUGCCUUAAGCACAUUUCAUUCUAUAAACCAAAAGCCUACAUUCUCCCAAAGUCACUUGCUCAAUCUUUUGCCCCACCUCCAUAGUUAUUUAUAGUUUUUAAGAUGAGGCAAAAAUACCAGCAAAUGUUUUGCCUGAAAGUCAUGGAGACUCUGGAGGCAACCAAACCCAUGUCUCCAUUGCUAUCACUCAAUGGAUGUGUCCCUGUGCAGGUUAUUAACUUCAUUAACCUCAGUUUACUCAUCUUCCCCCAAAUGAGGAUAAUAUUAUCUACUUCAUAAAGUGAAAAUGAUUAAAUGAAA